Molecule: non-coding RNA, 1034 nt
Organism: Cebus imitator (Panamanian white-faced capuchin)
Lineage: Eukaryota; Metazoa; Chordata; Mammalia; Primates; Cebidae
Source: the annotation of a RefSeq genome assembly
UGACCCCAAAAGCCUGAGAGGGAAUAAGAGAGGCCUGGGGAGCCCAGCUGUGCUGUGGGCCCGGGAGGAAGAGCUCUGGGUGUCUCACGAUGGCCUGGACUUCCCUCCUGCUCCCUCUCCUCACUCUCUGCACAGGCUCUGACGCGUCCUAUGAGCUGACACAGCCACCCUCCGUGUCAGCGUCACCAGGACAGACGGCCAGGAUCACUUGCUCUGGAGAUGCAUUGCCAGAUAAAUAUGCUCAUUGGUACCAGCAGAAGCCAGGCCAGAUUCCUGUGCUGGUGAUAUAUAAAGACAGCGAGAGACCCUCAGGGAUCCCUGAGCGAUUCUCUGGCUCCAGCUCGGGGACAACUGCCACCUUGACCAUCAGUGGGGCCCAGGCAGAGGAUGAGGCUGACUAUUACUGCUUCUCAGCAGACAGCAGUAGUACUUAUCCCACAGUGGCACAGGCAGACGGGGAAGUGAGACAGAAACCCCUUCCCUCUCUGUGUCACCCUCUCUCUCCAGCCCCAGCAGGACUGUGAACAAAGCCAUAAGCAGGCCUGGCCCAGUUCACCUGGAUCUGCGACCUUCAGGCUGCCCUUCCCUCCAGCCCUCCAGGCAGGCUCUGCAGAAGGUGGGUCAGGAUAGGAUUGGAGGCUGGAAGGACCACGCUGUUCUGGUGUUGUUUGGACUGAGUGUGUCUUGGCUCAAGAUGCCCUGAGUGGAAGGACAGUAAGAGGGAGACAGACAGCCAUGGAGUGUCCAUGGUCUCUGGAGUUCCUCUUGUGUGGUGACUGGAUCUAACGCGAUGCCUGUACUCUGUGGCCCAAAUACCCUGGAUUAUUUCUCUGAACUGUGCAUGUUUAACUGAGACCCUCAAGCCCCAGCUCCAUGCAUCCUGAUGUUCUGAACGGGAAAGCCUUUCCUAGUGAGCACUGUGGCAUCACGUGGCAUCCCUGACUUCCUACAGCAAUUUCCCACUGAAAAAUGGCAUUGAGUACAAAUAACAGCUUCCUGCAGAAGUGUGCCUCCUUCAGAAUGUGGUUCUAGAG